RNAcentral lists this long non-coding RNA (213 nucleotides) under Zea mays. RNAcentral's name for it is "drought responsive lncRNA". The record is from RNAcentral. Lineage: Eukaryota; Viridiplantae; Streptophyta; Magnoliopsida; Poales; Poaceae.
GUGCUGUUUCAGUUCACUGAAACUGAACUUUUCUGUGAUUUUGCUCUAUUUUGUGGCAUCAUAACUUUUGAUUAGUAUGGUUUUAGUCUGGGAUGCUAUGCCAAAGUGGUAGAGCUAUGUCUAGAGAAUAACUUUGAGUAAAUGAGUUGGGUUUGUUGUUGAGGGAAUUUGUGAGUUACAAAGCACUGAACAGAGGGAGAGGAAUGGAGCAAU